CCCUUAGAUGUUCUGGGCUGCACGCGCGCUACACUGAUGCGCUCAACGAGUUUACGACCUUGCCCGGAAGGGUUGGGUAAUCUUUUUAAAACGCAUCGUGAUGGGGAUAGAUUAUUGCAAUUAUUAAUCUUUAACGAGGAAUUCCUAGUAAGCGCGAGUCAUCAGCUCGUGCUGAUUACGUCCCUGCCCUUUGUACACACCGCCCGUCGCUCCUACCGAUUGAGUGAUACGGUGAAUAAUUCGGACUGCAGCAGUGUUCAGUUCCUGAACGUUGCAGCGGAAAGUUUAGUGAACCUUAUCACUUAGAGGAAGGAGAAGUCGUAACA
RNAcentral lists this ribosomal RNA (326 nucleotides) under uncultured eukaryote. RNAcentral's name for it is "partial 18S ribosomal RNA". It matches the Rfam family "Eukaryotic small subunit ribosomal RNA", at positions 1470 to 1796 of the family's 1831-position model. The record is from RNAcentral.